UACGGAGGGUGCAAGCGUUGUCCGGAAUUAUUGGGCGUAAAGAGCUCGUAGGCGGUUUGUCGCGUCUGCCGUGAAAGUCCGGGGCUUAACUUCGGAUCUGCGGUGGGUACGGGCAGACUAGAGUGCAGUAGGGGAGACUGGAAUUCCUGGUGUAGCGGUGAAAUGCGCAGAUAUCAGGAGGAACACCGAUGGCGAAGGCAGGUCUCUGGGCUGUAACUGACGCUGAGGAGCGAAAGCAUGGGGAGCAAACAGG
RNAcentral lists this ribosomal RNA (253 nucleotides) under uncultured bacterium. Its description in RNAcentral is "partial 16S ribosomal RNA". It matches the Rfam family "Bacterial small subunit ribosomal RNA", at positions 524 to 776 of the family's 1533-position model. The record is from RNAcentral.